GACAGAGGGUGCAAACGUUGUUCGGAAUUACUGGGCGUAAAGCGCGUGUAGGCGGCUCGAUAAGUCGGAUGUGAAAGCCCUGGGCUCAACCUAGGAAGUGCAUUCGAAACUGCUGAGCUUGAGUUCUGGAGAGGAAGGCGGAAUUCUCGGUGUAGAGGUGAAAUUCGUAGAUAUCGAGAGGAACACCGGUGGCGAAGGCGGCGAUCUGGGAAGAUACUGACGCUGAGGUGCGAAAGCGUGGGGAGCAAACAGG
RNAcentral lists this ribosomal RNA (253 nucleotides) under uncultured bacterium. RNAcentral's name for it is "partial 16S ribosomal RNA". It matches the Rfam family "Bacterial small subunit ribosomal RNA", at positions 524 to 776 of the family's 1533-position model. The record is from RNAcentral.